This 330-nucleotide long non-coding RNA is filed under the name Homo sapiens (human). RNAcentral describes it as "non-protein coding lnc-GGT1-3:2". The record is from RNAcentral. Lineage: Eukaryota; Metazoa; Chordata; Mammalia; Primates; Hominidae.
GGAGACUGUUCGAUCACCAGGAGCACAAAGUUAUCAUUGUUGGGCUGGAUAAUGCAGGGAAAACUACCAUUCUUUACCAGUUUUCUAUGAAUGAGGUUGUACAUACAUCUCCUAUAAUAGGAAGUAAUGUAGAAGAGAUAGUGAUUAAUAAUACGCGUUUCCUAAUGUGGGAUAUUGGUGGCCAAGAAUCUUUUCGUUCUUCCUGGAACACUUACUAUACUAACACAGAGUUGAUAAUAGUUGUGGACAGUACAGACACAUGAUUUCUGUAACUAGAGAAGAACUCUAUAAAACGUUAGCGCAUGAGGACCUAAGGAAAGCUGGAUUGCU